This 496-nucleotide ribosomal RNA is filed under the name uncultured bacterium. RNAcentral describes it as "partial 16S ribosomal RNA". It matches the Rfam family "Bacterial small subunit ribosomal RNA", at positions 28 to 506 of the family's 1533-position model. The record is from RNAcentral.
GAUGAACGCUGGCGGCGUGCCUAAUACAUGCAAGUCGAGCGAACAGACGAGGAGCUUGCUCCUCUGACGUUAGCGGCGGACGGGUGAGUAACACGUGGAUAACCUACCUAUAAGACUGGGAUAACUUCGGGAAACCGGAGCUAAUACCGGAUAAUAUAUUGAACCGCAUGGUUCAAUAGUGAAAGACGGUUUUGCUGUCACUUAUAGAUGGAUCCGCGCCGCAUUAGCUAGUUGGUAAGGUAACGGCUUACCAAGGCAACGAUGCGUAGCCGACCUGAGAGGGUGAUCGGCCACACGGGAACUGAGACACGUUCCAGACUCCUACGGGAGGCAGCAGUAGGGAAUCUUCCGCAAUGGGCGAAAGCCUGACGGAGCAACGCCGCGUGAGUGAUGAAGGUCUUCGGAUCGUAAACCUCUGUUAUUAGGGAAGAACAAAUGUGUAAGUACCUAUGCACGUCUUGACGGUACCUAAUCAGAAGGCCACGCCUAACUACGU